RNAcentral lists this ribosomal RNA (253 nucleotides) under uncultured bacterium. Its description in RNAcentral is "partial 16S ribosomal RNA". It matches the Rfam family "Bacterial small subunit ribosomal RNA", at positions 524 to 776 of the family's 1533-position model. The record is from RNAcentral.
UACGUAGGGUGCGAGCGUUAAUCGGAAUUACUGGGCGUAAAGCGUGCGUAGGUGGUUUGUUAAGUCUGAUGUGAAAGCCCUGGGCUCAACCUGGGAACGGCAUUGGAAACUGGCUUACUAGAGUGCGGUAGAGGGGUGUGGAAUUCCCGGUGUAGCAGUGAGAUGCGUAGAUAUCGGGAGGAACAUCUGUGGCGAAGGCGACACCCUGGACCAGCACUGACACUGAGGCACGAAAGCGUGGGGAGCAAACAGG